RNAcentral lists this ribosomal RNA (545 nucleotides) under Calonectria polizzii. RNAcentral's name for it is "eukaryotic LSU rRNA". The stretch from base 169 to 322 matches the Rfam family "5.8S ribosomal RNA". The record is from RNAcentral. Lineage: Eukaryota; Fungi; Ascomycota; Sordariomycetes; Hypocreales; Nectriaceae.
UCCGUAGGUGAACCUGCGGAGGGAUCAUUACCGAGUUUACAACUCCCAAACCCCAUGUGAACAUACCUGUUUCGUUCCCUCGGCGGUGUCCGGCAACGGCCCGCCAGAGGACCCAACAAACUCUUUUGAAUUUUUCAGUAUCUUCUGAGUAAAAAACAAAUAAAUCAAAACUUUCAACAACGGAUCUCUUGGUUCUGGCAUCGAUGAAGAACGCAGCGAAAUGCGAUAAGUAAUGUGAAUUGCAGAAUUCAGUGAAUCAUCGAAUCUUUGAACGCACAUUGCGCCCGCCAGUAUUCUGGCGGGCAUGCCUGUUCGAGCGUCAUUUCAACCCUCAAGCUCAGCUUGGUGUUGGGGAUCGGCAAGGCGUCCUCCGGGUCGCGCCGUCCCCCAAAUUUAGUGGCGGUCUCGCUGUAGCUUCCUCUGCGUAGUAAUACACCUCGCUCUGGAGUCUCGGUGCGGCCACGCCGUAAAACCCCCAACUUUUUCUGGUUGACCUCGAAUCAGGUAGGACUACCCGCUGAACUUAAGCAUAUCAAUAAGGCGGA